RNAcentral lists this ribosomal RNA (695 nucleotides) under uncultured spirochete. RNAcentral's name for it is "bacterial SSU rRNA". It matches the Rfam family "Bacterial small subunit ribosomal RNA", at positions 40 to 726 of the family's 1533-position model. The record is from RNAcentral. Lineage: Bacteria; Pseudomonadati; Spirochaetota; Spirochaetia; Spirochaetales.
CGGCGCGUCUUAAGCAUGCAAGUCGGGCGGCAAGGCGGAGCAAUCCGCCNUAGAGCGGCGGACUGGUGAGUAACGCGUGGGUGACCUGCCCUGAGGAUGGGGAUAGCCAUUAGAAAUAGUGGGUAAUACCGAAUAUGGUUGUCCGGCUAUGGCCGGGCAAAGAAAGGAGCUAUGGCUCCGCCUCGGGAUGGGCCCGCGUCCCAUUAGGUAGUUGGAGUGGUAAGGGCGCACCAAGCCUGAGAUGGGUAGCCGGCCUGAGAGGGUGAACGGCCACACUGGGACUGAGAUACGGCCCAGACUCCUACGGGAGGCAGCAGCUAAGAAUAUUCCGCAAUGGGCGAAAGCCUGACGGAGCGACGCCGCGUGUAUGAAGAAGGCCGAAAGGUUGUAAAGUGCUUUUAUUGCGGAAGAAUAAGCGGGGGAGGGAAUGCCCUCGUGAUGACGGUACGCAAUGAAUAAGCCCCGGCUAAUUACGUGCCAGCAGCCGCGGUAACACGUAAGGGGCGAGCGUUGUUCGGAAUUAUUGGGCGUAAAGGGCACGUAGGCGGUUAACCAAGUCUGGCGUGAAAUGGCGGGGCUUAACCCCGUCACGGCGUUAGAAACUGGAGAACUAGAGUCACGGAGGGGGAGUUGGAAUUCCGCGUGUAGGGGUGAAAUCUGUAGAUAUGCGGAAGAACACCGGUGCGAAGGCGAAC